Molecule: long non-coding RNA, 753 nt
Organism: Suricata suricatta (meerkat)
Lineage: Eukaryota; Metazoa; Chordata; Mammalia; Carnivora; Herpestidae
Exons: 2
Source: RefSeq, a predicted model, not a curated record
CUCUCCACUUGAAAGAUUCUGAUCUUUCUUGAAGCAGUUAUUUAUUUACAUGGGAAAAGAAAGGCCGUCUCUUCCUUGAACUGUCUCAGCAAGUCCACAAGCUAAGAAACGCAUACAGGUUUAAUAGAGCCGCGUGAUCAUCCCAGAUCAGCCACAUGAAAAAAUGAGGCUCCAGGGGUUACCAUUCCUGGUCAUUUUGGUUUUCCCUGUAGAAAUGUUGUGAUGCAUAUGCCAGUGUGAAAAGCACAGCUCUGUGCUGUCGAGAAAUGAUCUUUUGAUGCCUGAGAGUUUCAAAGCUGAAACAAGGCAGCCAAGGGUGGAGACUACAUAUACCGGAAUCCUGAAAACACGGACGGCCAGCGAAGUCUUACCGAAUGGGCCAUUGCCACGUUCCCGGGAACAUUAGCGGGAAUGUGUAAUACAAGAUUUUUGUGGAAUGAGACUCCUGUUCGAAGCACGGAGUGGAGAGCUGUGCACAGAACUGCUGAGAAGCAGCCAGAAAAGAGCUCAUGAAUGAUUGAGCCCUGGCCAGGAGGAAGGAUACUUGGCACCUGACUUAAUAGGAUGCACUGUUAUUUAACCGUUGGACGCAGCCGCUGUUUGCACCAGGAGGACUGUGGGACCUCGCUCAGGAUGGUGACUGAGUAAGGAAGUUUUGUGUUUGAGCCCGUGUGUUCUUUUCUGUGGAAUGAAUGUUUCUGUGCACUGGUGUGAACAUUUGAUCAAAUUAAAUAAACAUUCCGUCAUCAAACA